UACGGAAGGCAGCAGCGGGGAAUAUUGCACAAUGGGCGCAAGCCUGAUGCAGCCAUGCCGCGUGUAUGAAAAAGGCCUUCGGGUUGUAAAGUACUUUCAGUCGUGAGGAAGGUGUUAAGGUUAAUAACCUUAGCAAUUGACGUUAGCGACAGAAGAAGCACCGGCUAACUCCGUGCCAGCAGCCGCGGUAAUACGGAGGGUGCGAGCGUUAAUCGGAAUUACUGGGCGUAAAGGGCACGCAGGCGGUUAAUUAAGUUGGAUGUGAAAUCCCCGGGCUUAACCUGGGAAUGGCAUUCAAGACUGGUUAGCUAGAGUCUUGUAGAGGGGGUAGAAUUCCAUGUGUAGCGGUGAAAUGCGUAGAGAUGUGGAGGAAUACCGGUGGCGAAGGCGGCCCCUGGACAAAGACUGACGCUCAUGUGCGAAAGCGUGGGGAGCAAACAGGGAUUAGAUACC
This 453-nucleotide ribosomal RNA is filed under the name uncultured bacterium. RNAcentral's name for it is "bacterial SSU rRNA". It matches the Rfam family "Bacterial small subunit ribosomal RNA", at positions 340 to 786 of the family's 1533-position model. The record is from RNAcentral.